RNAcentral lists this ribosomal RNA (412 nucleotides) under uncultured bacterium. RNAcentral describes it as "bacterial SSU rRNA". It matches the Rfam family "Bacterial small subunit ribosomal RNA", at positions 207 to 622 of the family's 1533-position model. The record is from RNAcentral.
AAGACCUUGCACUUUUGGAGCGGCCGAUGUCUGAUUAGCUAGUUGGUGGGGUAAAGGCCUACCAAAGCUUCGAUCAGUAGCUGGUCUGAGAGGACGGCCAGCCACACUGGGACUGAGACACGGCCCAGACUCCUACGGGAGGCAGCAGUGGGGAAUUUUGGACAAUGGGGGCAACCCUGAUCCAGCCAUGCCGCGUGAGUGAAGAAGGCCUUCGGGUUGUAAAGCUCUUUCAGCCGGGAAGAAAAGGUUGCGAUUAAUNUGACGGUACCGGAAGAAGAAGCACCGGCUAACUACGUGCCAGCAGCCGCGGUAAUACGUAGGGUGCAAGCGUUAAUCGGAAUUACUGGGCGUAAAGCGUGCGCAGGCGGUUUUGUAAGUCAGAUGUGAAAUCCCCGGGCUCAACCUGGGAACU